RNAcentral lists this unclassified non-coding RNA (253 nucleotides) under Patescibacteria group bacterium. Its description in RNAcentral is "contains 16S-23S intergenic spacer region". It matches the Rfam family "Bacterial small subunit ribosomal RNA", at positions 524 to 776 of the family's 1533-position model. The record is from RNAcentral.
UACGUGAGCCCCAAGCGUUAUCCGGAUUUAUUGGGCGUAAAGGGUCCGUAGGUGGUUUCGUAAGUCAUAUGUUAAAUCUUCAGGCUCAACCUGGAGGCCGCGUGUGAUACUGCGAGACUAGAGGACGGGAGAGGCAGACGGAAUUGUUGGUGUAGCGGUAAAAUGCGUUAAUAUCAACAAGAACACCGAAGGCGAAGGCAGUCUGCUGGAACGAUCCUGACACUGAGGGACGAAAGCGUGGGUAGCAAACAGG